Molecule: ribosomal RNA, 396 nt
Filed under: uncultured bacterium
Lineage: Bacteria
Description: bacterial SSU rRNA
Rfam family: Bacterial small subunit ribosomal RNA
Source: RNAcentral
GACGAACGCUGGCAGCGUGCUUAACACAUGCAAGUCGAGCGGUAAGGCCCUUUCGGGGGUACACGAGCGGCGAACGGGUGAGUAACACGUGGGUGACCUGCCCUUAGCUCUGGGAUAAGCCUGGGAAACUGGGUCUAAUACCGGAUAUGACUCCAUGACGCAUGUUGUGGGGUGGAAAGCCUUGUGCGGCUAGGGAUGGGCCCGCGGCCUAUCAGCUUGUUGGUGGGGUGAUGGCCUACCAAGGCGACGACGGGUAGCCGGCCUGAGAGGGCGACCGGCCACACUGGGACUGAGACACGGCCCAGACUCCUACGGGAGGCAGCAGUGGGGAAUCUUGCGCAAUGGGCGAAAGCCUGACGCAGCGACGCCGCGUGGGGAUGACGGCCUCGGUGUAAC